This 439-nucleotide ribosomal RNA is filed under the name uncultured bacterium. Its description in RNAcentral is "partial 16S ribosomal RNA". It matches the Rfam family "Bacterial small subunit ribosomal RNA", at positions 339 to 795 of the family's 1533-position model. The record is from RNAcentral.
CUACGGGCCGCUCCAGUGAGGAAUAUUGCACAAUGGGGGGAACCCUGAUGCAGCAACGCCGCGUGGAGGAUGACGCAUUUCGGUGUGUAAACUCCUUUUAUAUGUCAAGAAAAUGACGGUAGCAUAUGAAUAAGCACCGGCUAACUCCGUGCCAGCAGCCGCGGUAAUACGAAGGGUGCAAGCGUUACUCGGAAUCACUGGGCGUAAAAGACGCGUAGGCGGGUUGGAAAGUCAGGUGUGAAAUCCUACAGCUUAACUGUAGAACUGCACUUGAAACUUCUAAUCUAGAGUAUGGGAGGGGGAGAUGGAAUUAGUGGUGUAGGGGUAAAAUCCGUAGGUAUCACUAGGAAUACCUAAAGCGAAGGCGAUCUCCUGGAACAUUACUGACGCUAAGGCGUGAAAGCGUGGGGAGCAAACAGGAUUAGAUACCCGCGUGGUC